GCGCGGAUAGUCGAGCCCGGCGAACUGCGGUUCGCUGAGCAUGAACGGCGUGUGCCGCUGUUCAAUCGGCAGGCCGCGCA
This 80-nucleotide transfer RNA is filed under the name compost metagenome. RNAcentral describes it as "tRNA-Leu". The record is from RNAcentral.